GACGAACGCUGGCGGCGUGCUUAACACAUGCAAGUCGAACGGAAAGGCCCUGCUUUUGUGGGGUGCUCGAGUGGCGAACGGGUGAGUAACACGUGAGUAACCUGCCCUUGACUUUGGGGUAACUUCAUGCAACUGGGGCUCAUACCGGAUAGGAGCUCCUGCUGCAUGGUGGGGGUUGGAAGGUUUCGGCGGUUGGGGAUGGACUGGCGGCUUAUUAGCUUGUUGGUGGGGUAGUGGCUUACCAAGGCUUUGACGGGUAGCCGGCCUGAGAGGGUGACCGGCCACAUUGGAACUGAGAUACGGCCCAGCCCCCUACGGGAGGCAGCAGUGGGGAAUAUUGCACUAUGGGAGGAAGCCUGAUGCAGCAACGCCGCGUGCGGGAUGACGGCCUUCGGGUUGUAAACCGCUUUCGCCUGUGACGAAGCGUGAGUGACGGUAACGGGUAAAGAAGCACCGGCUAACUACGUG
Molecule: ribosomal RNA, 468 nt
Filed under: uncultured bacterium
Lineage: Bacteria
Description: partial 16S ribosomal RNA
Rfam family: Bacterial small subunit ribosomal RNA
Source: RNAcentral